CAUGCAAGUCGAACGCGUCUUGGGGGCAACUCCAAGAUGAGUGGCGAACGGGUGAGUAACACGUGGGUGUUAUUUCCCCCAGUGAGGGAUAAGCCCCCGAAAGGGGGUCUAAUACCGCAUAACACCCUGGGGCAUAAGCUUCCAGGGUCGAAGCCGCAAGGCGCUUGGGGAUGAGCCUGCGUCCUAUUAGCUAGUUGGUAGGGUAACGGCCUACCAAGGUUAUGAUGGGUAGCCGACCUGAGAGGGUGAUCGGCCACACUGGGACUGAGACCAGGCCCAGACUCCUACGGGAGGCAGCAGUGAGGAAUAUUGCGCAAUGGGCGAAAGCCAGACGCAGCAACGCCGCGUGGGCGAUGAAGGUCUUCGGAUCGUAAAGCCCUUUUCUAGAGGAAGAGGAAGGACAG
This 404-nucleotide ribosomal RNA is filed under the name uncultured bacterium. RNAcentral describes it as "bacterial SSU rRNA". It matches the Rfam family "Bacterial small subunit ribosomal RNA", at positions 54 to 458 of the family's 1533-position model. The record is from RNAcentral.